Molecule: ribosomal RNA, 474 nt
Filed under: uncultured bacterium
Lineage: Bacteria
Description: bacterial SSU rRNA
Rfam family: Bacterial small subunit ribosomal RNA
Source: RNAcentral
CGCUGGCGGCGUGCUUAAUACAUGCAAGUCAACUUGACUUUAGAUAGCAAUAUCGAAAAGUAGGGUGGCGCACGGGUGCGUAACGCGUAGGUAAUCUGCCCUGAGGUCUGACAUAACCCGUCGAAAGGCGGGCUAACAUCAGAUGAUAUAUAGUCACGACAUCGUGGAAAUAUCAAAUCUUCGGAGCCUUGGGAUGAGCCUGCGUCUGAUUAGGUAGUUGGCGGAGUAAUAGCCCACCAAGCCUACGAUCAGUAGCUGGUCUGAGAGGAUGAUCAGCCACACUGGAACUGAGACACGGUCCAGACUCCUACGGGAGGCAGCAGUAAGGAAUAUUGCUCAAUGGGGGGAAACCCUGAAGCAGCAACGCCGCGUGAAGGAUGAAAUACUUUGUAUGUAAACUUCUGUAAGAUGGGAAAAAUAUUCUCCUCGGGAGUAUUGAUUGUACCAUCAGAGUAAGCCCCGGCUAACUACGUG